RNAcentral lists this ribosomal RNA (460 nucleotides) under uncultured bacterium. Its description in RNAcentral is "partial 16S ribosomal RNA". It matches the Rfam family "Bacterial small subunit ribosomal RNA", at positions 338 to 795 of the family's 1533-position model. The record is from RNAcentral.
CCUACGGGUGGCAGCAGUGAGGAAUAUUCGUCAAUGGGCGCGAGCCUGAACCAGCCAAGUCGCGUGAGGGAUGACGGCCCUACGGGUUGUAAACCUCUUUUGCCGGGGAGCAACGGGCGCCACGUGUGGCGCCACUGAGAGUACCCGGAGAAAACGCAUCGGCUAACUCCGUGCCAGCAGCCGCGGUAAUACGGAGGAUACGAGCGUUAUCCGGAGUUAUUGGGUUUAAAGGGUGCCUAGGCGGAUCGUUAAGUCAGUGGUCAAAUUGAGGGGCUCAACCCCUUCCCGCCAUUGAUACUGGCGAUCUUGAGUGGAAGAGAAGUAUGCGGAAUGCGAGGUGUAGCGGUGAAAUGCAGAGAUAUCACGCAGAACCCCGAUUGCGAAGGCAGCAUGCCGGCUUCCGACUGACGCUGAAGCACGAAAGCGUGGGGAUCGAACAGGAUUAGAUACCCGGGUAGUC